This 819-nucleotide long non-coding RNA is filed under the name Triticum aestivum (bread wheat). Its description in RNAcentral is "long non-coding RNA (TAES_LNC019492)". The record is from RNAcentral. Lineage: Eukaryota; Viridiplantae; Streptophyta; Magnoliopsida; Poales; Poaceae.
GGCCACAUAUCUCCGUCGCACAAGAGAUGUUGGAGAAGCGGGAGUAACCCAUCGCCUGUAGCUCAGUACGCGUGGCAUUCAAGAAGCUGCUUCGAUCGCAGACUACAUGAUCAGAUCCAUGUCGUAGCAUAUAUAUACACCAUGUACGUCAUGGAUGCAUGCAUAAAAGCGAGCUAGGAUGUCAGACAGGUUAGUAUUCAUUGGUGCAAUCAUAUCUUUCUAUUAAUGUAUAGAUCUUCCGCUGCCACAUUUAUCUUCUAUUCUCCACCACAUGGAAGUGGAAUAUAUGUACAACUAAUACGGUGAUAAGCUGGUCAAUGCAAGUUAGCAAAGCGUUUGAGGAAAAAUAGACAAUUGAUGGGAUCUCAAAGAUUGAAGAUACUGUGAUUCAGAUUGAGUGAGUAUAUCAAAAGGAAGUAAAUGAGUACAAAUACCGUGGUUGCUAACAGUUAAAACUCUUGGAAUAUACUGGGAUAGAAAAUUUAAUUUUAGACUACUGGGUGAGAAGCUCAACAAAACUGAUGUAGAUUCUUUCAGUCGUGUUUUUAUAGUAACAUCAGCAACUGUCCGAUAUUUGAUAUCUGUGUAUUACAUAUUAAAAGGAUGUAAGUAUUGCUAUAUGUGUAUAUUUAUUUUAUAGGAAAGUUAAUGUCAAGUGCAUACAGAGUAGUCUCUGUCAUCUAUAGGUGCAUACAGAGUAGUCGAUGUCAUCUGUAGGUGCAAACAGAGUUUAUGUCGAGUUGAAUAUCAUCGGCUAAUCGUGUCCCUUUACUUCUACUGUGCAGAUGGGGUGAAACAUAAAUUGAUUUGCAAACAGGG